AUGCUGAAACGGGACCUCACCGCUCACCCAUAUUGCUCAGAGAUAGUGACCCAACUGCUUCGAAUCUUUUAUCUGUGUCAAACCUGCAUGAACGCUCCCGGCAUUCUCACCACGGCUGCAACCCGGAGGCACCCGAGAUGCUCCUGGAUGAGCGGCACGAGGUCCUUAACACAGAGGCCAGGUCAGGACACAGGCAAGGCGCUGUGGAUGCGCUCAGGGCCCGAAUGCACCUGCUGCAGUUGUUCAAGGCAGGUGGCCAGAUGGUGGCCGGUGGUGUUCACAGGAGGCGGGAACACGCCAGGGCAGGGGGAAGAAGGCAUGAGGGGAGCAAGGGCCAGGGGAGCACCUGGCUCCCAGGGGGACAUCGAGCGUGGGGGGCUGCUCUGGCGCUGGAGGGGGAGCUGUCCACUUGGGAGAGCCCAGGAGCUGCAUUCUGGGGUUGUCUCCUGGAGGCAAACGGAAAACCCCAGAACGCAGAUAACCGCCCAGCAGGCUGUGUCUGAGGUCGCUGCUGUCACCGGGUGCAGACCUGACCCCAGAGACCAGUCCCCACUGACGUGCCCUGAGGACCGCAGGGCCUGUGAGGCUGGGGUCCGCACCUCUUGGGACUUGCUGGGCGAGGGCCACACUGAGCAGACCACCCUGCCGGCCGCCUCCUGGGCUGCAAGCCCUUCUCCACGUGCUGUCGGCCUAUUCCGCGUACAACACCGACGAGGAAUAGAUGUGCACUGGCAUUUACACCCCCAGGGAGUUCCUUCAGUGUUUCAUCGACCAGAGUCCCUUCUCCCUCACCCUGAAGCUCUGGGACGCCUACAUCCUGGACGGGGAACGCAUGCUUACAGCCAUGGCUUACAGAAUCCUGAAGGUGCACAGUGA
This 876-nucleotide long non-coding RNA is filed under the name Canis lupus familiaris (dog). RNAcentral's name for it is "lncRNA (ENSCAFG00030025480.1)". Lineage: Eukaryota; Metazoa; Chordata; Mammalia; Carnivora; Canidae. The record is from RNAcentral.